CUGAAUUUAUCUAAUGAUUUCUCUAUAAAUUCUUCAAUUGUCAUACGGUUUUCCCUGUUGACCUGCUCAUGCAGUAGAAACAGAACACACUUUCUAAUGUUCAACCACUCUGAUGUUCCCAAUCCUUCCUUUUCAUUUUGUUUCUGUAUUUCCUUCUUCCUGUGUGUAAAGUUUAACACACAAACAGGAAGACAUCUAAAUCACAGGUACAGAGCUUGCUGUAUGCAGAUAAAGAGCCUACAAUUAGAAGCACUUCAGAAUCCUUCCUCUACCUGAUCUCAUUACCACUCUUUCCCUCCUUCCCAAAGGUAAAACACUGUCCUUACUUCUAACACCACAGAUUUGUUGUGCUUGUUUCUCAACUUUACAUAACUGGAAUUAGGGCGUAUUCUUGUGUGUCUGCCUGUUUUCUUUUACUAUUGCCUUUUUGAGAUUCACUCGUGUCCAUUUAUGUCGAUGGACACUGCAUCUCUUGUUCACACACACCUGGCUUGCUGCCAGUUCUGGGCUACCACAACUACUGCUCUCACGGGGGUUCUCCUCAAUGUGUUGUAGCACGUCUGCUAAACGUUGGCUUGUGUGUAUGUUUCUGCUGGGUGCAAAGGCAUACCUCGAAGAUUCUGUAGAUUCAGGUCCUGACCAGCACAAUAAAGUCAUCACAGUAAAGUGAGUCGAAUGAACUUUCUGGGCAUGUAAGUUUCCCUGGGCAUAUAAGUUAUAUUCAUGCUAACUAUAGUCUAUCACAUGUGCAAUAGUGUUGUAUCUAAAAAAAACAAUGUACAUAACUUAGAAAUACCCUAUUGCUAAAAAUGCUAACCAUCCCCUGAUCUCUCAGCAAGUCAUCAUCAUUUAUCACAGCUCACCGUACCAAAUAAAAUGAAAAAGUUUGAGGUGAUCAAUUGCUGUUGGAAAACUGGUGCAUGAGGCCACAAGCCUAAAAUUUGUAAAAAAACAAAAUACACACAGCACCUGUGAAGCACAGUAAAACGAGGUAUGCCUGUGUACCGCUGGAGAGUGGAACUACGGAGUGGCAGGGUUUACAUGUGUACAGCCAUAACAGAUCACGCCAAAUUGUUUAUGGCAGCCACCAGCGCUGUUUUAGUGACAUACUGUUCAAAGAGCAGGAGGAGGAGAACCCAGAGGAAUCUUUCUGCACCUAAUGUAUCGACAAGCUGAACAAGGAUGGGCAGGCGCCUAUGCUCUGGAACGUGUGGCAGCGCGUCCACAAACACGUUAAUGAUUUUCACCACGAUUCCUUCCACAUUUCUCGUGACUUCUACAGAGUCUCCACCAUCAGACUGCAGAACAGCAAGUAGAAACAAUGAGUAGGAGCAAAUAACCCUUCACAAGGAAGCUUUCAGGUAGACCUGGGAAGGCCUUCAGAUGUGCCCCCCACAAAAUGAUCAAAAGAACAUGAAUAAUCAAGGACCUAUUAGUAAAUAUUCAGUGAGUACAGAUUACAUACCAGGGACUGCAUGGCCCUGAGGGGAAUACAACGUGUAGGAUGUGAGCCCCACCACAAAGAUUUAUCAUCUGUAUGAACAAGACUCACAUGGGGAAAGAUACCAACUGGAGGUACUAAAUGACAGAUCCCAAGUAUGUGGCACUCAGAACAAGACUGCUCUUAGGCCAACUGGGAACCUACACGCAACAAGAAGGAUUUGUGUUCUGCCCGGAGAAGAAUGGGUAUAAUCUACAUAAGCAGAACACAGAAAAGGCCAAAAACUCCCUGUUGCUUACAGAAUAAUGUUCAAACCACUGAACUCUGGAACUGAUACUCCAAAUACGGUUGUUGAAUGCAAGAAUGAAUGAACCAAUGCCCUCUACUUCUCCCUGUCUCAACACUCUGAACUCCACACAUCACUCUAACUUACAUUCUUCACACACACACUGUACACAUUCCUGGACCUUGUCAUUUCAUCAAGCAAAUCCUGUCCUUCAUUCCUAUCAGUUCAAAUUGUAUUUCUUAUGAAACUUUGUGGUCGUCCUGGCUCAUGGGUGCUAUCUUUUAUUCUGAACUCUUUCAGCACAGACCUAUUCAACUGGCAUAUAUGAUGUUGAUGCAUACAGUUAUUUUUCUUUUAAUAUCUGUGUCCUGUACUUGCCAACUUGUUGGACACAGAGAGUAUCAACCUAAUACCAAGAUUAAAAGAAGAUGAGUGCUGAAUACGGUCAUCCCUGGAAUGGCCAAUAAUGUGAAGAAGAUACUAACAACAGGUGGGGAUAAACAGAAAAUUCAUGUAGAUGAUCAAGCUCUUUUAUUUUUAAGGAUGAUUUUUAGUUUCAAAUGGUUCAUCCUUCCUGGUAGAGACUCAAUCAUCUCUGAGUACACGGCUCUUAGAGAACACUUGAAAAAUGUUUGUUGAAUUAACAAAUUUGCCACUGUAACUCUAAAAUGUCCUACCUUCACUAACCUGCAUAACAGUAUUAUCCAAGUGCAAUAUAUGGCAAAUUUAAAUUCACUCUGUCAGUAUAACAUUAAGCCCCAGGUAUAGUUCUACCCCUUUAGCACAGCAAACCAGUUAUGCAUGUUUCCUUGUAUUUUUGGAACGGACAUUGUUACUAAAACUAAUUAUUAGCUUCAGCAUUCUAAAAUGUAAGAAGCACAAAUACCUGAGCUUUUCAGAAAGGCUUUUAAUGUCACUUAUUUACUUCUACUUUCAAACUAUGUAAAAAUUUAAAGACCAAAAACAAACAAAAAAACCUGGGGCACCUGAGUGGCUCAGUCAGUUAAGCGUCUGACUCUUUUGAUUUUAUUAGCUUAGGUCUUGACCUCAGCAUCAUGAGUUCAAGCCUUGUGGUGGGCUUCAUGUUGGGUAUGCAGCACACUUAAACAAUAAAAAACUACUGAUGGUAUAAAGACAGCUUACCUGAAUAAGUGCUGGAAUAACCAUCUUCACAGUCUUGUUAAUAACCUGAAAACUGUAAGUAUCAUCUAGACGCAUGACAUUGGCUCCCAUAAAUGUAAAAAUAGACAUGAUGUUGUGUAGAACUUUAUCCUGAAAGAAAAUACAUCUUUCAACAUUUUCCAUUUUAAGCACACCAAAUAUCAAUGAUUCAUUAUAGUCUAGCAAUAAAAGAAGACACAACUCCAUUUAAAAAUGGGCAAAGGAUUCCCAAAGACAUUUUUCCAAAGAUAAAGAAAUGGUCAAUGAGCACAUGAAAAGAUGCUCAACAUUAGGCAUUUAAGGAAAUGCAAAAUCCAAAUCCUAAGAAACUUCACACACCCAAGAAUGACUUAAAAAAAAAAA
Mustela erminea (ermine) is the source of this 3251-nucleotide long non-coding RNA. RefSeq lists it as uncharacterized. The record is from RefSeq and is a predicted model, not a curated record. NCBI's taxonomy places the organism in Eukaryota, Metazoa, Chordata, Mammalia, Carnivora, Mustelidae. The transcript is spliced from 2 exons.